AUGAGCAGUGUGCCUAUAGAUUCAGACGUCCUUUCCUUGACCUCCACCAACGUCCCGCUCCUGGUCCCUAGAAAACUUGUGGUGGCUCACACGCCUGGCAUUCCUAAACGGUAUGAGCUUCUCUUGAAGCAUUUGACUUAUCUUUUGUGCUGUGACAAUGAAGGGAAGUCUUAUGUCUGUUGCUCGAAUCAAAGGAUCAUGUUUCUAAGGUGGAGUAAGGCAGACAUGUGCCUGUUUUUUGAGUGGGAAGAAGAGGAGGAGCAGAUGAUUUGCUGGAUGCAUGAUAUUGCCAACAAUGUCUGCAUGAAGUUCCUUCUUAAUCCAGCAAUAAUACAUGGAAAAAAUUUCAUCACAGCCAAACGACCCGCAAUUGCUUUUUCAUCCGAUUUGAGUAACACUGAAGUGAAAAAAAGGCUCAUUACUAUCUUUGGCUCUUCAGAGAAUGAAGAUUUACUAAAAAGUGAUCAUCUAUUUGUUUUCACCACAACUGGAUCUUCAUUAUGUUUCAGGAAUUUCAAGGUAUUGAAUCCUACUAGCAGAUUUUCAGUUUUUAUUGCGGUGAUAUCUGGCAAUCUAGCUUUUUUGGCCUCACAGUAG
This 597-nucleotide ribosomal RNA is filed under the name Triticum aestivum (bread wheat). RNAcentral describes it as "partial small subunit ribosomal RNA". The record is from RNAcentral. Lineage: Eukaryota; Viridiplantae; Streptophyta; Magnoliopsida; Poales; Poaceae.